RNAcentral lists this unclassified non-coding RNA (1112 nucleotides) under Melitaea cinxia (Glanville fritillary). RNAcentral describes it as "misc RNA ENSMCXG00005008861.1". The record is from RNAcentral. Lineage: Eukaryota; Metazoa; Arthropoda; Insecta; Lepidoptera; Nymphalidae.
CGCACACAGAGGCGAGAACACCUGUCUCGGGAACGAAAGGUGUGCUCACGCGUGCCGGCAAGAGACGACUAUAUGUAGAGUCGAGAGGCGAGAGUGAGAAGUGCUAUGCGCGCGCAGAGCACCGGCACGCCCGCCGCGCGUCCCGCUCGCUCACGAGCCCGCCUGAGAACCGUCAGUCUAUCGCGCGCAGAGGCAGCGCUUGUAUGUGCCGCCCUUUGCUCUAUCGCGACCGACACGGUGUCCGUAACUGGUGUUCGGAAAAUUGUGCAUGUGCGUUUUCCGACGAGAGCAGUGUGUGUGCUAGUGAGAUGUGCUGUUGUUUUCUAGGAUCGGUUUAUACGCAGAGCAUCAACUAGUACGAAUGAGAACAAAGUGCCAAGGUGCAUUAUUAUCAAGAAACAAUCACCUUUCGACGUAUAUAAAUUCGUAAAUUUAAUUUCGUAGGCUAUAAAUUUAGUAUAACAUAAAAACGCGCGUGCUCCAGCGGCGUUGUCGUCAAGUCGAUAUCGGUAAACAGUCGCGUCGCGCGCGGUUCCUUCUCCUGUCGCCGAAACUGUCAGUGCUUGCCGGAGUCGCGCGACUCGGCCGGCACGCCCCGACACAGCCGUGGAUAACCUCGGCCAGAGCCCCCUUCCGGUGAAGAGGCUGCACGAAGCGCUUCAGAGUGCACAAGUGAAGCGUCAGCGGCUCUCCCCUCCGUACCCCGCACCUCCCACACCCCUUCACCCGAUUCAUCAGCUCGCCGUGCACCAGCAUAUCAAAGUGCAGCAAAGCAUUGUGCAACAGAGCAUCGUGCAGCAGCAUCAGUUGAAUCUGGCCCAUCAGUCGCUGCAGAACUUGCAAGCACAGAGCUUGCAGGCAGCUCAGCAGAGCCUUCAAGCAGCACAGAGUCUGCAGACUCAGAGCCCGGUGGCGACGGGCGGCACAGGCACGCAGCAGGCGGCGGGAGCGACACAGGGCGCGCUGGUGCCACCGCAGCAGCCAUCGCCGCGGGCCGCUUCACCGCAACAUAAGAACAUGGAGCUCGCGCUGUGUCAGAGUAUGGACUCUGUCAAUACUGCAACCACUGAGGAAGAGGUAAGUUGGCUUAAUCAAAUGCAGCUUAUAGUUUU